CGCACAUAUUAAGUCUUAGAUCACAUGAAUAGUUUCCAAGCAAAUAAAUCGUGAAAUUAGUGUAGCUGUUUGGGUGUUAUUACAAAAUAUUUGCUAUGACUUUUCUUUGGAUUCUAGGAGGUUCUUCGCAGCCAACUAAAUGGGCUGUAUUGCAACGGGAGUUGUCUUGCAGUCAGAGCUGAGGGCUAAAACGACCCAUUAUAUUCAGUGCUGGAUGGAUGCUAGCUUUAGCUGGGUUAAUUUGGGGGAAAACGAAGAAGCCCAGUUUAAAAGUGGCAGAGCGGUGCAGUGAAUGAGGAAUAUGCUAUGAAAGACUCCGAAGAAGAUUUGGGGCUUUGUUCGGGUUAUCCCGGGGCACUUCCAGCCACCUGGAGGAUUGAGAAGGAACCCCAGAGGAGACCUUUUUGAUUCCUAACUUCCUCAACCAGACUUGGUGUUGUACCUGGAAGUGUGGACGACAUGGCCAGUCCACAGGAGACGGAUCUGUGCUAUGCGUGGGAAAAGUACAUGGACUGUAGACUGCAAGGAGCCGAUCUCCAGGUCAGCCUUCAGAGCCUGGAGAAUUUCCUUUGUCUCUUCCACUACGUGCAGCACCACUGCAAACACAGCAGCAAAGAUGCACUGAAAUUCUGGUAAGGUCUCAUCACUCUGUCAGUGUCUUAACACCUCAUUAUAAGACAUUUGUGUCACUUUGCCAGGAUAAAACCUAUGCAUGAAAUGAGCUUUUGAAAAUCUGGUGCAACAGUGGAAUCAUAAAGACAUAUUUAUUAGCAUUAUUGUAGGCUAAUAACACAAUAACUAUAGUUGUGUCUCAAACUAUGUUGUCAAAAUCAAACAAUCAAGUUUAAGAAAAUAAACAAGGCCACAUGCAACUUAAUGUAUAUAUUCAAUUCAGUUCAGUUUUAUUAAUAUAGCGCCCAAUCACAACAGCGGUCACCACAAGGCGCUUUAUAUUUUAACGUAAAGGCCCUACAAUAAUACAAUGGAACCAGUGUGUUAUAGAUUGGAUGCAGUGCCUGCAAACAUGCAGGAACUGCAGUUAUUUUAGUCCUCUUUUUCUCUGUUUUGGCAAAAGAAUGGCAGAAAUGACACAUUUGUUUAUAUCCUUUUAUGUCCUGCCUCUAUAGUAGAGGUUUGAGGAAUUAUGUAAUCAUGGUGCAUUAGCGUUUGGAGUACCUUACUGCAUAGAUUUACAUACUGAUGAGGAAAAUUGUGGGACUUUAGGAACCUCGAGUACCUCUUGUUUGUAUUCUGUUGAGUGUGAGUAAGUCGGUCUCUCACACACACACACACACACGCAGUCUGCCUAGAAUUAAGUGGAUGCAUUAGCAUUUGCAAUCCACAUGUUCCUUCAGCUGAAAAAUCAUUGUUAAAAUACCUAAAAUAAUGUCCUUGUGUAAAGACGAGCUUGAGGCGUUUUGAUGUUUUGCUCUGUGAGAUCACUUACUGAACACUAAUUUGCUUAAUUAACAGAGCUUUUUUAUGUGAAAAUGAAGCAGUUGGCUAACAGAUGUUAGAAACAAGACCUCUUGCUACACUGCUUCUUACAUUGGACUAGGUUGUAGAUUUGCAAUUGUGUGAUGUUACUGUGGUUUAUUUUAAACCGGCAGAUGCUUACACUUUUAUAAGUAAUAUUGUUAGAGGAACAUGAUCACAGAGUAAAGUAAUACCUUUACUGCCUACAUGCUUACAUGUGAGCAAAGAGUUGUGCCAAACCUUAAAAAAAGCAUGUUUAUUUGAAGAGGCAACGUCCAGUAUACAUAUAGUUAUAGUUAAAAAACAAAAAAAUAUAAAAGGAAAAUACUUGGACUGCAUUUUGAAAUAAACUCCUUUUACUUGAAAUUGUUUAAACAAACGUGAGUAGAAGUGUUGUUUCUUUUUUUUUGUUGCAAAACUAGAACUGAGAGAGGAAUUGAAAAAUUCGACUGUAAGACUUAUACAAAGUUCUGAAAUGAUACAGGAAGAUUAGUGACCGUAGUACCGCUAAUCCUCCAAUCACAGUGACAAUGUCCACGGUCUAAAAGUGAAAAAGAGAUGUCACGGGAGUAUCGGUGAUGGUCUGGAUUUCUGUGACUCAGACAGUCCUAAGAUUACAGUGUCAGUCUGUACUGAUAAUGGCCAAGAAGUGAAAAAAAUAAAUCCUUAUUUGCUCUUUGGUACAAAAUUGUAAAUUUUACUAAAUGAAAUAAAAGAACUUGUAG
This 2201-nucleotide long non-coding RNA is filed under the name Oreochromis niloticus (Nile tilapia). RNAcentral describes it as "lncRNA (ENSONIG00000029279.1)". Lineage: Eukaryota; Metazoa; Chordata; Actinopteri; Cichliformes; Cichlidae. The record is from RNAcentral.